GCCAGGUAUGGUGGUGUGCACCUGUAGCCCUAGCUACUUGGGAGGCUGAGGCAAUAGGAUGGCUUGAGCCCAGGAGUUCAAGGUUACAGUGAGCUGUGAUCAUGCCACUAUACUCUAGCCUGGGCUACACAGCUAGACUCUGUCUCUU
Macaca fascicularis (crab-eating macaque) is the source of this 148-nucleotide unclassified non-coding RNA. It matches the Rfam family "Metazoan signal recognition particle RNA". Rfam says of the family: The signal recognition particle (SRP) is a universally conserved ribonucleoprotein. It is involved in the co-translational targeting of proteins to membranes. Lineage: Eukaryota; Metazoa; Chordata; Mammalia; Primates; Cercopithecidae. The record is from Ensembl.